GAUAAGGAGAUAGUGAUGGUGAUUACAAGCACAUAUCUUAAAUAAAUGUGUGGAAAAACAGUUUCUGAAUCUCCUCAAU
This is a small nucleolar RNA of Amphiprion ocellaris (clown anemonefish), 79 nucleotides long. RefSeq annotates it as small nucleolar RNA SNORD121A. The record is from RefSeq and is a predicted model, not a curated record. NCBI's taxonomy places the organism in Eukaryota, Metazoa, Chordata, Actinopteri, Pomacentridae. The transcript has a single exon.